GCGAAGAACCUUACCUACUCUUGACAUCCAGAGAACUUUCCAGAGAUGGAUUGGUGCCUUCGGGAACUCUGAGACAGGUGCUGCAUGGCUGUCGUCAGCUCGUGUUGUGAAAUGUUGGGUUAAGUCCCGCAACGAGCGCAACCCUUAUCCUUUGUUGCCAGCGGUCCGGCCGGGAACUCAAAGGAGACUGCCAGUGAUAAACUGGAGGAAGGUGGGGAUGACGUCAAGUCAUCAUGGCCCUUACGAGUAGGGCUACACACGUGCUACAAUGGCGCAUACGAAGAGAAGCGACCUCGCGAGAGCAAGCGGACCUCAUAAAGUGCGUCGUAGUCCGGAUUGGAGUCUGCAACUCGACUCCAUGAAGUCGGAAUCGCUAGUAAUCGUGGAUCAGAAUGCCACGGUGAAUACGUUCCUGGGUCUUGUAC
This 425-nucleotide ribosomal RNA is filed under the name uncultured prokaryote. Its description in RNAcentral is "bacterial SSU rRNA". It matches the Rfam family "Bacterial small subunit ribosomal RNA", at positions 961 to 1386 of the family's 1533-position model. The record is from RNAcentral.